AUUGAACGCUGGCGGCAUGCCUUACACAUGCAAGUCGAACGGCAGCACGGGGGCAACCCUGGUGGCGAGUGGCGUACGGGUGAGUAAUGCAUCGGAACGUGUCCUCUUGUGGGGGAUAACCAGUCGAAAGACUGGCUAAUACCGCAUGAGCUCGAGAGAGGAAAGCGGGGGACCGCAAGGCCUCGCGCGAGAGGAGCGGCCGAUGUCCGAUUAGCUAGUUGGCGGGGUAACGGCCCACCAAGGCGACGAUCGGUAGCUGGUCUGAGAGGACGACCAGCCACACUGGGACUGAGACACGGCCCAGACUCCUACGGAGGCAGCAGUGGGGAAUAUUGGACAAUGGGGGGAACCCUGAUCCAGCCAUGCCGCGUGUGUGAAGAAGGCCUUAUGGUUGUAAAGCACUUUAAGCGAGGAGGAGGCUCUUUUGGUUAAUACCCAAGAUGAGUGGACGUUACUCGCAGAAUAAGCACCGGCUAACUCUGUGCCAGCCGCCGCCGUAA
This 500-nucleotide ribosomal RNA is filed under the name uncultured bacterium. Its description in RNAcentral is "partial 16S ribosomal RNA". It matches the Rfam family "Bacterial small subunit ribosomal RNA", at positions 29 to 523 of the family's 1533-position model. The record is from RNAcentral.